CCAAGAGCCGCAUGGCCCAUGGAAGAAAAGGUGGCCUCUACCUGUAAGCUAUCGCCUGAAGAGGGGUUUGCGUCUGAUUAGCUGGUUGGAGGGGUAACGGGCCCACCAAGGCGACGAUCAGUAGCCGGUCUGAGAGGAUGAACGGCCACACUGGAACUGAGACACGGUCCAGACUCCUACGGGAGGCAGCAUG
Molecule: ribosomal RNA, 193 nt
Filed under: uncultured bacterium
Lineage: Bacteria
Description: partial 16S ribosomal RNA
Rfam family: Bacterial small subunit ribosomal RNA
Source: RNAcentral